This is a long non-coding RNA of Daphnia magna, 5080 nucleotides long. RefSeq lists it as uncharacterized. The record is from RefSeq and is a predicted model, not a curated record. The transcript is spliced from 11 exons. Lineage: Eukaryota; Metazoa; Arthropoda; Branchiopoda; Diplostraca; Daphniidae.
UGAUGUUCCAGAAGUUACACGUAAAUGUGUGGUCAAAGUGUUUCUUUAGUAAGAAACUGCUGCACUGACGAGAUCACCGACCGUAGCCUCCGCCACCUUUACCAUAAGGUCCUGUAAUGAACAACAAAAGUCUGGGUGAAUUGAACUUUAGAUUAAGUCCUGGCGUGGGAACUACAAAAUUUAGAUUUUGCUGCCAAGAAAAAUUGUGCCUUAUCGGGGCCACUGGAUGACGACCAACUGCCGGAGUAAUGUUUAUAUCCAUCGGAUCUAAUAAGGAUGGUCAUCAUAGCAUGUCGGAGAAGAAGGGUUUUUUUUGCCUCAUGAACAUCUAAAACUAUUGGGACGGCCCAGUUAUGAUGACCUACUUUGAUCUUCGGUGAGAGAAUUUAUUCUAGUUAAUAGGAAUUUUAAUCGGUUCGUAACUGUCAACAAAGGGCGAUAGGACAAUAAGAAAAUACUCGCUGAGCUUUCACAUCUUUAAAGAUGACCAUUUAUUGUCAGUUGUUUUUGGCGGAGACCUAAACAUCAUCGAAGAACCUGGUUGGGUCAUUACAAACUUCAGAUAUGAUAAGCAUCAAAUUUUUAUUUUAAAUACUAGAAAUGCAGUCUAGAAAGCAGAUUGGGAACAAGUGUAACGGCAGGUAAUUUCAUGUUUAUUUUCAUCGCCAUAAAAAAAUCGCCAAUCAUCAACUUAUAAAUAAAAUUGUUUGUUUUUUUGUUUUGUCCUCCUUUAAACGUUAGCUAUAAAUAAAACCCAUUUCUAAAUUAUUAUUUUGUAAACAGAACGAGCUUUGCGUGAUUCGUUGCGACGGAUGGAAACCGAAAAUGAAACGCGUUAAAAAAAAUUAAGAAAAGAAAAAAGAGAAAUGAAGUUGUCUCGCAAUCGUAGCACAAAUGUGAAUCCUUAUAAUGGCAUGGCGAUGGCUGGAAGAUCGCUUUCCAUCCGGAUAUUCGUCUUGUCCUAAAAUACGAAAGGAAAUAUUUCAACAGCCGUAAACGACGCUCAAUAUUUUAAAAAAAAUGGGGGUAACUUACAAAGUAUUUGGCGUAAGAAAGAAAAACGUUCCAGCCAACAGUCAUAACGUUAACGUACAACACUCGAUAGACAGGUGAUACGUAAAAAAAGUUGAUGAAUUGUGCAGGAGGCCAUACCGAACAGUCGGUCUGAAUAAAUUGAUUAAAAUUGUUUGUUAGGUAAAGCCAAAUGACUGGGAACACGACGGUCAACUGGAAAUUGAUGGAAUGCAAAGUGUUAACACGAACGACACGCUGGUAAAGUGUUCAAAUUUUUGAAUAUUAUUAUUUUGAAAAUCAAAUAAGAAACUCGGAAAAAUUGUCCUGGUUUUUUAUGGUAGAGCUGUUGGAUAAGCAAUAACUCGUUAUCAUGAAUUGUUCAACAUUUGUUGCAUGGAUAAUGUACCUCUGAAUGUUGAGACAUGCUCUUCUCAGAACAGGUUCAAGAUGGAAUUUACACAUCCUUUGUGAAAGCUAUAAGUAAAUUCAAAAAGCUUUGGCUAAGGUAAAAGUCAAAUUCUCUCAAUUUAAUCUUUAAAAAAAAAACUUAAGUCAAUUUCAACUUGAGAACUUUGAGAUUUUCUUUCCUUUUUGUCACCGUUUUCCUGUGAAGGUGAAAGAAUGAGAUCACAAUUUCAGGUGCUUCAUUAAAUUUAAUUUAAACGAAAAACCUCCUGAUGACCUGUUGAUCAGCCAUUGCGAAAAAAACAUGAGCAUUAUAGAUCACCACUAGCAUUGCUUACAUUCUAGAGAUCAUAGAUAACGGACAAGUCGUAUGAGAUUACGUGUGACGUCUAGAUCCCGUAUCGAUAAUGCCACUACAAACAAGACUUUGUAUUGCAACACCAUACUGUAACUAUAUCCCCACCACACCCUAAUAACUAAUAGCAAAGCUUUCUGCACUGGAGUUAUGGGAAUGUCUGGAACAUUCCGAUAGACUCUGAUAAAUCAUCUACUUGAGCUAAAUCUCAUAGGCAUAGGAUACCAGCAAAAAAUGUACCUUGUAAACCAUCAGGAAUUUGGAUUUCAAUUCGUCCCACGCUUGCCGGGUCGUGCUUCCCUCCAGGAGGCCAGCUCCCAUGAAAAAGGAGACGUUGUUAAACGGGGAAAAGAUGGUCUGAUCAAGCAGAAUCUUUUUGCCGACACAAAGGAGUGAGGCUCCCGGGAUAGCGCGGUCCAGAAACUUGUACCAGAAAUGAUGCGGAAGGCCCAGGGUUAAGCCGAUUGCCAUCAUUCGACCUGAUGUUGCGGUGAGCAGAUUUGAAUGUUUACGUCUAGUGGAAAGUCAUUAGUGAAUAAUCAAGUCACCUGAUCGUUUCCAAUCAUAUCGCUCCUUAUUCUUGUUCUUACUGCCGCUCGUUUUAGAGUGUUCAAUAGUCUGUUGAAUAAGAUCUCCGGCCGCCAAAAGAAUCCCUGAAAAAUGGUUUUUUCAAUGCGAAAAAGUUUUAUUUUUUAUUCCUUAGCAAUCGAAGCAGUUUGUAAUUUAGGAUGUUCGUGAAGUUCUUACCACCGCUGGCAGUGUUGGUUACCCAUAGAUAUCGACCAAAUAAAAUCCCUUUCAGUUUUGAUAUAACGGCCAUUUGUCGGUUUGGUGACUUUUUUCAUCACGCGUCGGAGUUUUUUUUUAAGAAAGGAAGGGUAGACCUUAUGCUCAGUUUGAAAUUUUGAAUGGCGAUUGAACAACUUAGCGUCCCUUAUAUAUCCCCUGCCACGGUUCGAUAUCCCGCCACGUCUCUCUCAGCACAACCUUUGAAAGUUUUAUUUGUUGAUGAUAAGGUUUUUUUUUUUUUAUGUAUCACGCCAUUAGAAAAAAAUGCGCUUACGAAAUCAAGUGAUUCCUAUUGUUCUCCCCUUCAGCCACGAAAUUUUGAAAAGAAUUAUUGGAAUCGUGCAGAAGUUGCGAUUGUUUUUCAAUUUUGAAAAACUUUACGCCAUAUGACAAUCCCCAUAUCGUCGAUGAUAUUUUUCCAAAGGAAUCAGAACAUCGUGCCCCGUGUACUCCCAACUACCGUUUCGUUCGUGAGCAGACGAACCAUCGAAGGAGCCUCCAGCCAGAUACUAGAAGAAGCCAAACAUUGUUUUGACAAGUACUGGCAUCUUUGGCAGGUUUUCCCUAAAUACCAAGUAAGUAAGAGGAUUAAUCGUUUUAAAUGUAUGAUUUUUUUAUUCUACUCUAUGUAGAAUAAAAAGUAGUAGUGUGUAGUAGUCGGAACUGAAAUUAUACUUUUAGAACCUUUGAAACAUCGCAUAAUUUUUAUUUACAAUAGUUUAAUUUUACAACUAUCAGAAUCAGGUUAACCAUUUAAAGGAGAACAAAGUUCAUUUUUUAGAUUUCCGGAAUUUUGACUUCUGGUUUGACUUCCGGUUUAAAAAUGCCAAACAACUACUAACUUGUUGGUCUGUCAGAAAAAAGAUUCAUAUUAUCGUGAUCCUCGUCAAAUUUGGGGUCGACUCCAUGUAUCAACUCAAAAUACCCCAAAAUCGUCAAAAAUCGCAAAUUUUCCUGUGAAAAAUCACGAUUUUUGGUCAAAUCCAACUUUUGGCUAAAAACAAGUCAUUCCCAACCCAAAUUUAAUAAGGAUCACGAAAAUCCUACUCGUUUGUUAUGGGAUCACUAUUUCCGGUGAUAUUGGCUACUUCCGGUUACUUCCGGAAAAUUUUCGUGACAAUAUGCAAAAAGUAAAAAAUGAGCUGUAUUGAUCUAACAAUUUCAAAUACUUUCUCGCAUGCGUUAGGGUUUGGUAGCUAUUAUUCCGUAUUUUUCUUGCUUUCAACACUACAGGCUGAUCCUACGAGCUACGACAGCUUUACCUACAAAUGUUUAGCGUUUCGUGCUGCAACUAGUAGUUGAUAUUCUAGGAUAUUAUGCCUAAAAUUGGAAUUCAGCUAUCAGAGAUUAGCAAAAUUCAAGUACUUAAAAGCAAGUAUUGUACUUAUUUCAACAUUCAAAGUAAAAUAGAAUGUUUGGUUCUAGGCGGAAACUCUAGAUGGCGUUUAUGUGCAUCUAUGAUAAAUAUCAUGAAUGACAGGUUAAAUGGGUGUUUGUUACGUUACCCUGUUAUGUGUUUUAAAGGAUUUUUCGUCAAAAAAUUUACGAUUGCUGUUUGUACGUGGUGUUGUUUCGCCUUGUCAGCAAUGCCAGCGCCUGAACCAGCAGCCUGCAUUCCUGCUAUCAAUGUACCACAAGGGAUCCUGACACUUUAAGAAAGCCACUAUUCCUUACAUGAAGAUCACCAUCCAGUUCAAGUACUGUUAAUGGACCUCAAGCCUUUUGUUUAAGCUUAGUGAUGUGUUAUCUUGUCAGUCAACAACAGAGUCUUCAUCUACUUUGUGUUGCUAACCAUCAGCCCUCAGCAUCCCAGGUAUCCAGAUUUCCAAGUUUCUCUGAUUAGCCAACCAUCAUCCAUACCCUUCAGCUCUUCAAUGUGGCUUCUUUUCCUCUCUUCUUAGUCUGCUGAAUGCCAACAUUGAAUAAGGUUCAUCGUCAUUGCCUUUCCAUGGUAUUUUCAUUUGGUGGAUUAUCUAGCUGCUGUUCUUCUCACCAUUACUUAGCCAGCUCACGUGGAUAGGCUUUAACAACAUCUCCAUUUUUUGGACUGCAAAUAUUCAUCUUCCUUCGGUACAACUCUGCCGUUUGACAAUUUCGGUAGUUUUCCCCCCCAGUGGACCACACGCAACUACAUUUUCUUCGUCUUUCUGUCGUUGUUGUCUACGACUUCACCUCAUCGCUGUCUUCGUUGACGUCUUCGCCUUCAUCUCCGUCUCGUCGUCUUGGCCGUCUUCGAUUUGGUUUCAUCGUCGUCUUCGCCGUCUUCGCCUUUUUUUCAUCGUCGUCUUGGCCGUCUUCGCCUUUGUUUCAUCGCCGUCUUGGCCGUCUUUUUCUACGCCAUUACUUCGUCGCCGGCUUCUCCUUCGCGUUCACCGUGGAUCGUCGUCCUGGUAUUGUUUUAUUUUGCAUUGUUAUGUUUAAGUUAACCCGUUGGCUGCCACCCCGUUUGCGUCCCAUUUUUUUUGUAGCUUGUAGGGACCGGCCGCAAUGGCCUUCGCCGCAAGGCGCCUUAGGCAA